CCAAUAGCGUAUAUUAAAGUUGUUGCAGUUAAAAAGCUCGUAGUUGAACUUCGGGGUCUACCCAUUGGUCAGGCUUAAUUGUCUGCACUGGUGAGAUGGAUCUCUACCUUCUGAGGAACUUUCAUGCCAUUUAUUUGGUGUGAUUGGAAAUCAGGACUGUUACUUUGAAAAAAUUAGAGUGUUUAAAGCAGACUAUCGUCUGAAUACAUUAGCAUGGAAUAAUGAAAUAGGACGGACUGAUUCUAUUUCGUUGGUUUCUAGGAUCACCGUAAUGAUUAAUAGGGAUAGUUGGGGGCAUUAGUAUUCAAUUGUCAGAGGUGAAAUUCUUGGAUUUAUUGAAGACUAACUACUGCGAAAGCAUUUGCCAAGGAUGUUUUCAUUAAUCAAGAACGAAAGUUAGGGGAUCGAAGACGAUCAGAUACCGUCGUAGUCUUAACCAUAAACUAUGCCGACUAGGGAUCGGAUGAUGUUAAUUUUUUAAUGACUCAUUCGGCGCCUUACG
RNAcentral lists this ribosomal RNA (502 nucleotides) under uncultured Glomeromycotina. Its description in RNAcentral is "partial small subunit ribosomal RNA". It matches the Rfam family "Eukaryotic small subunit ribosomal RNA", at positions 591 to 1092 of the family's 1831-position model. The record is from RNAcentral. Lineage: Eukaryota; Fungi; Glomeromycota.